CCCCGCGUGUGGGAGUGCGGCUGGGGUUAAGGAUGUGGGGUGUCUGGGGUUGUGCUGUGUGAAUGGUGCGUGUGGGCCGAAUGCGAGUGUGGAUGUGAGAGUGUGUGCGUGCGCGAGUGGUGUGCAAGGCGAGUGUGUGUCCGCCCCACGCCCCUCCCCUCGCCUACACCUUGAUCUUAUUUGAUCGGGUCGUGACCCCCGCCCCGCCGGGCAGUCCCGAAAUGAAAAGCAGCCCUCCUGCGAAGCCCCCUUGGCGGGGCGCUGUGCAGCGAGGCCCCCUGGGCGGUGGCGGCGCCGCGGUUCCCGAGGUCUCAGUCCUGCGGGCCCGGUGCUCAGAAGUGAUGAAUUGAUCAGAUAGACGAGGCCUGGGUCUGUCCCCGGCCACUGAUUACCGAGGCGAUUCUGAUCUGA
Non-coding RNA from Acomys russatus (golden spiny mouse), 411 nucleotides. RefSeq annotates it as small Cajal body-specific RNA 2. The record is from RefSeq and is a predicted model, not a curated record. The transcript has a single exon. NCBI's taxonomy places the organism in Eukaryota, Metazoa, Chordata, Mammalia, Rodentia, Muridae.